GUGAGGUAAUGGCUUACCAAGGCGACGACGGGUAGCCGGCCUGAGAGGGCGAUCGGCCACACUGGGACUGAGACACGGCCCAGACUCCUACGGGAGGCAGCAGUGGGGAAUAUUGCACAAUGGGCGCAAGCCUGAUGCAGCGACGCCGCGUGAGGGAUGAAGGCCUUCGGGUUGUAAACCUCUUUCAGCAGGGAAGAAGCAGUCGGGUUUUCCUGGUUGUGACGGUACCUGCAGAAGAAGCACCGGCUAACUACGUGCCAGCAGCCGCGGUAAUACGUAGGGUGCAAGCGUUGUCCGGAAUUAUUGGGCGUAAAGAGCUUGUAGGUGGUUUGUCGCGUCUGUUGUGAAAUUUCGGGGCUCAACCCCGAACUUGCAGUGGAUACGGGCAGACUAGAGUGUGGUAGGGGAGACUGGAAUUCCUGGUGUAGCGGUGAAAUGCGCAGAUAUCAGGAGGAACACCGAUGGCGAAGGCAGGUCUCUGGGCCAUUACUGACACUGAGAAGCGAAAGCAUGGGGAGCGAACAGGAUUAGAUACCCUGGUAGUCCAUGCCGUAAACGGUGGGAACUAGGUGUGGGUCUCAUUCCACGAGAUCCGUGCCGCAGCUAACGCAUUAAGUU
RNAcentral lists this ribosomal RNA (618 nucleotides) under uncultured Actinomycetes bacterium. RNAcentral describes it as "bacterial SSU rRNA". It matches the Rfam family "Bacterial small subunit ribosomal RNA", at positions 252 to 866 of the family's 1533-position model. Lineage: Bacteria; Bacillati; Actinomycetota; Actinomycetes. The record is from RNAcentral.